UACGGAGGGGGCUAGCGUUGUUCGGAAUUACUGGGCGUAAAGCGCACGUAGGCGGCUUUGUAAGUUAGAGGUGGAAAGCCCAGGGCUUAACCCUGGAAUUGCCUUUGAAGACUGCAUCGCUAGAAUCGUGGAGAGGUGGGUGGAAUUCCGAGUGUAGAGGUGAAAUUCGUAGAUAUUCGGAAGAACACCAGUGGCGAAGGCGACUCACUGGACACGUAUUGACGCUGAGGUGACGAAAGGCGUGGGGAGCAAACAGG
This 257-nucleotide ribosomal RNA is filed under the name uncultured bacterium. RNAcentral's name for it is "partial 16S ribosomal RNA". It matches the Rfam family "Bacterial small subunit ribosomal RNA", at positions 524 to 776 of the family's 1533-position model. The record is from RNAcentral.